This is a non-coding RNA of Cucurbita pepo subsp. pepo (vegetable marrow), 1768 nucleotides long. The record is from RefSeq and is a predicted model, not a curated record. NCBI's taxonomy places the organism in Eukaryota, Viridiplantae, Streptophyta, Magnoliopsida, Cucurbitales, Cucurbitaceae.
AUCAACGGACAUAUUUCGUUGUGCAGCUCCCGCGUGGCCAAGGCAUCUGGAGUGGCUUGCUUAUGGCUUUCCCGCUAGAAUCAGAGCGCUCCAUCAACGGCCUCUUCUCUUUUGAGUGUUCGUUGCCGAAAUCAAACGCUAGAUCAUUACCAGGCAAUCGGAGGAAGAGAGAGAGAAGAAUCGAAAGAAGUUUCUCGACUCGUCUCGGUGAUGAAAAAUAGAGGGUAUUUUCUUCGACAAGUUCGUGAUCCAAGCGGGGGCGGAUUUUUCAGAAGUGUGCGACUGAUCUGGCGAUGAUGAAUUCGACGGUGAAGUUCAUAUUUCGAAAUACGGCCUCGUUUUUCGGCGUUCAUGUCACUUCCACUCCGCUUCGGCUUUCGUAUUCUCAGCUCACACUUGCCUCUGGAACUAAGAGAGCAGGACGACGAACUCUUAUGUCAGUGAGAUCUGUUCCAGUAACAGAGAGGGGAAGAACAAUGCAGUUGCUCUUGAUGAAGUGAUUGCUUGGACAACAGAAAAGCAGUUGGUCUUGUCAUUGAUGCCGGUUGGAUUUCGCAUCUGCUAGGAAUACUGGUAGAAGAAAGAGUUUGAUCAGCUGAAGAGGAAAAUGGCAAAGUCUAAGAGAGAAUUUGGUCUGCUGAAGAGGAAAAGAUGGAGGUGGAGCACAUGGAUGGAGAUAAUAAAGAUGAGGGCAUUCUACAAGGUAUCCAACUCCGGUUGCUACUUUCAACACUCCUUCACGUAAGAAAUUUUCUAUUUGACAUCAUGAACUACAUAUGUGCAACCUAGUUCUCACAGGAAUUACUUUGUUGGCAAUGUUGUGGCUCUAAUAAGAAGCAACUUGAUGGUACUGGUAUCGAGCUAUCGAGUCUCUUCAAGCAAAUUGAGAGUCAGGCUUCUUAUGGUUGCUAUACUACUGAAGCUUGGAAAAAGAGGAUACACUAGAUGGGGUCUCAAGUAACUGGCGAUCUUCUUGCAUCUGUAUCUGAAGCAGAGAACCCUUCACAAAGGCCUGUAAGGAGGUGUAGACGACAUGGUAAACUUUUGGAGGAGGGCGCAAGUGGAUAUCUGUAGAAGAAAUUCUCCACUCAUGAGGUUGAGGGAAUUGGAACAUAAAAUUUGGAAGUUGAUGGGUGCUCUCUUAAUAAAGUAACAUUAUUCGGCAGCAAGAACUAGGCUUCUAUUUACUUGGCCAGCACUCCGCAGCUAGCUGCUGAAAUGGGACUCAAAUUUCCUGGAGUUGUUGAGUACUGGGUAAUCCAGAGUGAUGUCCAAGGGAAAGGAACAGAACAUCCAUUAAUUGGUGUUGUCUGUGGACACUUAUUUGGUCUGAAGUUAGAGCAUUAUACAAUUAAUAGGCAGAGCCGGUAAGCUCCUGAACGAAGCGUCCACUGACUUUGAGAGUGCCAUCAACAUCAUUAAGCACGCCUGUCCAAAUAAAGGCAAAAUUUUGAAUUGGGUCAUACGGGAUUGGCUUUUGCCGAAGUUACCUAAAAGUUUAGGGCUGUACCUAUAAUCCAAAGGGCAAGGGAGUUCUCUCUUCCACGUGGCGAUCUUUUAUUGGUCUGUGACGGAGAGAGAGAAUUUUGGGUGGAGCAUAGUGUUUCUUCUUUUUGUGGGUCAUGGAAUAGUCAUUUUUUUCUCUCCAGCUUGCAUGAUUAAAGUUAUUUCACAUUAUGUUUGGGACAGUAACAGUUGUAAAGUCACUCUCCUAAAUGAUUCCUUCAAAUCUUGUGUACAUUAAAUAAAUGUUCAACAUUUUUUUCUA